GGGAAGGGUGUAAACGUGCCCCUGCAGAAAAGCCUGAGGACAUGGAGUUCCAGGUGCCUUCCAGUGACAGCGAGGGUCUGACCUACAUGGAGCUGCAAGCUGUG
Non-coding RNA from Meleagris gallopavo (turkey), 104 nucleotides. The record is from RefSeq and is a predicted model, not a curated record. NCBI's taxonomy places the organism in Eukaryota, Metazoa, Chordata, Aves, Galliformes, Phasianidae.